AGCUGGAUUCGCUAGUAAUCGCGCAUCAGCCACGGCGCGGUGAAUACGUUCCCGGGCCUUGUACACACCGCCCGUCAAGCCAUGGGAGCCGGGGGUACCUGAAGUGCGUAACCGCAAGGAGCGCCCUAGGGUAAAACUGGUGACUGGGGCUAAGUCGUAACAAGGUAGC
Molecule: ribosomal RNA, 169 nt
Filed under: uncultured bacterium
Lineage: Bacteria
Description: partial 16S ribosomal RNA
Rfam family: Bacterial small subunit ribosomal RNA
Source: RNAcentral